CCCUUAGAUGUUCUGGGCCGCACGCGCGCUACACUGACGAAGUCAGCGAGCAUGUCCUACGCCGACAGGUGCGGGGAAUCUUGUCAAACUUCGUCGUGAUGGGGAUUGAUUAUUGAAAUUCUUGACCAUCAACGAGGAAUUCCUAGUAAGCGCAAGUCAGCAGCUUGCGUUGAUUACGUCCCUGCCCUUUGUACACACCGCCCGUCGCUACUACCGAUUGAAUGGUUUAGUGAGAUCUUCGGAUUGGCGCCACUGCGGCUCAGCAAUGGGCUCGGUGGAUGCCGAAAAGUUGAUCAAACUUGAUCAUUUAGAGGAAGUAAAAGUCGUAACA
Molecule: ribosomal RNA, 331 nt
Filed under: uncultured eukaryote
Lineage: Eukaryota
Description: partial 18S ribosomal RNA
Rfam family: Eukaryotic small subunit ribosomal RNA
Source: RNAcentral